RNAcentral lists this long non-coding RNA (25481 nucleotides) under Lotus japonicus. RNAcentral describes it as "long non-coding RNA (LJAP_LNC001472)". Lineage: Eukaryota; Viridiplantae; Streptophyta; Magnoliopsida; Fabales; Fabaceae. The record is from RNAcentral.
GAUUUCUGAGGAAAUCGUCUCUGCCUUGGCCAAGAAAGGAAUCUCCAAGCUCUUCCCUAUCCAGGUGAGUUUGCGAGGUUUCUAGGGUUUAUGCGUUUUCCUGAAUCGAUUCAAUAGUGUAUAAAUUUAGUAACAUUGAGCUGUUGUUAACUUGUUUCUGUUGUUGAAUUGUAGAGGGCUGUGCUGGAACCUGCUAUGCAAGGUCGUGAUAUGAUUGGUCGAGCUAGAACAGGAACUGGGAAAACUCUUGCUUUUGGGAUACCCAUCAAGGAUAAGAUUAUUAAGUUCAAUGCUAAGCAUGGGUUGGUUUUACUUUUAUGUUUGUUGAAUGAUGCUUUUUAUGCAUUUAAUUUUACUUGUUAUGCCUUACUAUUACUUGAAUUUGGCCCCGUUUGGAAGAGCUUAUUCGAGCUUAUCUGAUAGCAUAAACUCUUAUGCCAGUGCCAGUGUUUGGGAGAGCAUAUGCAAACAACUUAUGGCUUAUUCUUCCAUAAGCUGUUUUGAGCUUAUUUUCAUAAGCUACUCAGGAUAGCUUAUGAAAAAGAGCUUAUGCUUAUAUAUAUAUAGCUUAUUUUCAAUUUAUUUCAAUAAAUUUUUUAAAUAACUUAUGAAUAAGCGUUUAUGUCAUAAGCGCAUAUGACUAUAAGCGCUUAAUUAAGCUGUUUUUCCAAACGGGACCUUUGUAUCUUUUCUAUCUGCUUGACUUUGAAGGUGGAUUUGGAUUAAGUGAUUUGCUAGAAAAUAUUGAUUUGUGGGUUUAACUUGUUAUGUUUUGUUGUGUGUGGAUGGUGUGGCAGACGAGGGAGGGAUCCUUUGGCAUUGGCUUUGGCUCCGACUCGAGAACUUGCAAAGCAGGUGGAGAAGGAAUUCUAUGACUCAGCGCCUAACUUGGAUACGAUUUGUGUUUAUGGGGGCACUCCCAUCUCGCAACAGAUGAGGCAACUUGAUUAUGGUGUUGAUGUUGUGGUGGGCACGCCGGGUCGAAUUAUUGACCUUCUGAACAGAGGCGCUCUAAAUUUGAAGGAGGUUCAGUUUAUGGUUCUUGACGAAGCUGAUCAGAUGCUUCAAAUAGGAUUUCAGGAAGACGUGGAGAAGAUCUUGGAUAGGUUGCCCCCUAAACGUCAGACUCUUAUGUUCUCUGCAACUAUGCCAUAUGAGAUUAAGCAGUUGACACGCAAGUACCUAAACAAUCCCGUAACCAUUGAUCUUGUAAGUACAUGAUUCUAUUUUUUCCGUCACUAGCUUUAAGCAUUGGGGCAAUUAUGGUAUUGAAAUCUCUUAUUGGAGUGAGUAUCUUCCCAAAAUUAAAAUGCAGAAAGCAAAUCAAGUGGAUGAACGCAUGGUGCACAAAGUGACAGAACACCAAUAGAAAAUAGGAUUAAAUGAAACCAAAUUACAGAAAAUACAGCAAUCUCUUCCCAUUGUUAGAAACUCUUACAGAGAUUAUCUCUGUCACUAAAACUGCCAAAACACUACCAUAACUACCUCGCAACACUACCACGCCCAGUAGAUAUUGUUAUUAAGAAGUUUAUUAUAAGUAAAUUUACAAGCAAUGUGUGUAUGUAUUUCAGUUGUACUGAAAAAGACUGGGUUUCAAUGGUAUUCUUAUUAUCCUUCAUAAGAAAUUGUAAAUUUCAGUCUGUGUUUAGAAAACUAUUUUACUGGGAUAUGUUUAUGAAGAAAGGAAAGAAAGUCAUGCAGUUUGAGAUCAACUUGGUCAGUUAUUUUAUUUGUUGGUUAUUAUUUAACCGGGAGCUUAUUGGUGCCUCAGGUUGGAGAUUCUGACCAGAAGCUAGCAGAUGGAAUUUCACUGUACUCAAUUGUGACUGAUAGUUACGUUAAACAGGGAAUUCUCGCGCCUCUGAUAACAGUAUGCCUUCUUACACCAUUUCUUAUGUGUUAGUUCUGAUUAAUGAUUGUUAUCAUCAUUGCUGUUUCGUUGAUAUCAAGAUUUAUUAUUUUUAAAUAAUUUUUCUAAAUAUAUAAAAUAUUUUUAACAACAAAAGAGCUAGAUAAUAAGCCCUAUCACUUAACUUGCUUCUGUUGUUUAUUCUAAAAAAAUGUAUCUUCUGGUAGGAGCAUGCGAAAGGAGGAAAGUGUAUUGUGUUCACUCAAACAAAACGUGAUGCUGAUCGAUUAUCACAUAGCAUGUCGAAAAGUCUUAAAUGUGAGGCCUUGCAUGGAGAUAUAUCACAAGCUCAAAGGGAAAGAACUUUAGCUGGCUUCAGAGAGGGUCAUUUUAAUGUUCUAGUGGCGACUGAUGUUGCUUCACGUGGACUUGAUAUACCUAAUGUUGAUCUUGUGAGUUCCUUUUUUCCCCAAUGAAAUCAUUAAGAUAUCCAAUCUAUUCUAUUCCAUGUUUAUUGACAUUUGAGAAUAACUCUUAUUUUCCCCAUGAUGUUUUUCUUUUCUUGUUACAUUUUUUCUUAAUGUAUAUGAGAUAUUUCUUAACUAUGUCAGGCAAGGUAUGCGUGAUUGGUUCAUCUCUAAUUGGUUACUGUUUAUGUAUGUUAUUUUAUGAAUUGGAUUCUCUACAUUUCCCAGUUACCUUCACUUUCAUUUCAAAUUCAGGGCAAGUUUGGCAGAAAUCAGUAAAUAGCUUCUGAUAUUUCUUAUGCUGUAUAUCCUCGUAUUAUGUUGAAGUGUGCUUUACAGAAUAAAUAGAGAUUUACGAACUGUGCUGGACUCUUUCUAUGCUGCGAUAAUAUUAUUAGGUUUUUCGUUACCAUAUUGAUAGCACCUUGAAGUAUGCAAACAUCCGAUCCCUCUUUCUUCUGUGCUUUAUAAUCUUCAAGUAGGGGAUAAUUUCAUAACAGAUGCUCAGUUCUUACUUCUUAGCAAUGCAGCAAUGGCUCUUAUUUUCAAAUGUUGAAAUUAGCAUAUGUUGGGUGCUAUGGAAAUCAUUGAAUUACAAAGCAACCUGCAUCAUUAAUUGUCUGCAAGAGUCUGCUUCUGUUCACGUUUCUAUAAAUUUUGAAAAAAUUGUAGCUUCUUGUUUGUUGCUUUCUUUGUUAUUCUUUUGGAUGGAUCUGGUCUUUGUCAAUGUUUUAUGCCACACUUUGUUUCAUUAGUCAUGUGUAUAUGCAAGUACUUCGGCAUAGAAGAUUCUGUUGUUAUUCUAUUCACUUUUUACAUGUGAGGAUCUAACUUUUGUUCCUUGAAUAGGUAAUACAUUAUGACCUUCCCAAUAAUUCAGAGAUAUUUGUUCAUCGAUCUGGACGAACAGGUCGUGCCGGUAAGAAAGGAACUGCUAUUCUUGUCCAUACUGAAGAUCAAUCCAGGGCUAUUAGGACUAUUGAGCGUGAUGUGGGCUCUAAAUUUAAAGAGGUGAGCUCCUUGCAUUCUAUCCAUUCCUUUGGGCCUAUCAUUUUUAAUGGAAGUUGUACUUUGUCCAUUGCUGAUUUAGUAGUUGUAGAAAAUGAGGUUAAACUAAAAUGGUAGUAUAUCCUCCUGCCUAAAAUCCACCCUUUUACUGGGAUUUUAAUCUGUGAAACACCAAGUUAUAACAUGUAAUGUUGAACAACUGAUACAGUGAUGUGCCCAAAAAGUUCAUUAUUAGUUUGUGGACAAGGUCGCGCCAAGCACUGAUAAAACUCAAGUUACCGAAAAUCUUAAUUAUUUUUCUGUGUGUCUACUCUUUUGUGGUAUACUUUAAGAAAAUCACAUACAACCUGUGAACUGGUAUACUCUAAGUUAUUUUUACUAUUAUUAUUAUUUUUUAUAUUAUGAUUGUUGUUCUCCAUCUUCCGUGCUGAUUACAUCAUCGGUCAGUAUUCUUUUUUCUUCAGGAAUCUAUGUAUAAUGAUUAACUGAUCACUUUUGUAUUCCAAUAUUCAUGUUUAUUAGCUACCAAAGAUUGCUGUUGAUAGAGCAUCAGUGGAAUCAUUCGGUGGCAUGGGGGGUGGGCGUUUUGGUUCAUUUGGCGGCGGAGGUAUGAGGGAUGGAGGUUUUGGCCGUAGUUCUGGAUCUGGCCGCUCUGGGGGCUACAGUAACUCUGGAUCUGGUCGCUCUAGCUAUGGAAAUUCUGGGUUUGGCGGAUCAAGUAGAUCUGGAGGAGGAUUUUCUGGUAAUUCAUCUGGUGAGAAUAGAUAUGGUGGAUCAGGCUCUGGUCGUUCUGGCUCAUUUGGUGGAGGUAGAUCUGGCGGAUCAUCCGGUGGAUUUAAAUUUAGUGGAUCAGGUGGUGGUUUUGGGGGAUUUGGCGGUUCAGAUAAAUCUGGUGGUUUUGGAGAUUUUGGCUCAAGGUAAGGCUAGCACGUGUGGGGAUUCUCGUGACAGUGAUCAGAACGAUAGAAAUCAUUUUAACUUCACAAGUAUCAUAAAAGCACCAUCUUCAUUUCUUGGUGGUUUAGUUUUUGUAAAGUUUGGUUGUCAUUUCAUCUAAAACUUGAAGCUAUGUAGGCUAUGCUUGUUGUACCACUAAGGAUUGGAGAAGGUUAUUAUUUAUAACAUAAGAAUCACAAGUUCUAUUGGGUAUAAGACUUUUCUUCUCUGGGGAUUUUUGGCUCAACCUCAGCUAUAUUGCAUUAUGCUCCAUCUAUGAAAUAGAAAAAUGAAGGGCUGUAUUCUAUGGAUUCCAUCAGCUCUCUUUCAAGCAAUCAAAACAUGAUUCUGGUUAUGUGUAUUUAUCAUGAAAGUUUUGAAGACACCUUUAUGAAGAGUAGUGAUUCAAUUUAUUUAUAUGUAAUUUAUGUUCCUUGAAACAGAUAAUGGGCACAAUGAAAUUUCUUAGAAAGCGGCUGGGUGCUUUGUUGUUUUAUUUUAUACUAUGAUUUUGUUGAGCAAUUAAAUUCUUAUCUAUUAUUUUAUAUUAACCUACCUGUUAUUUAGUUUCAGCUCCCUUACUCUGGUUGCUCUUGUAGUUUGAUAACAUAAUUUCAUAAGAACCAAGUUGAUUAAUUCCUACCCUUCAUUGUAUUUGUACUACAAAUGUUAUAUUGUAUUAAACCACUGGGGAACAAUAGGAUAGUUAAAUAUUUAGAAAGAAAAAUGCAGUAAACUGGUUGAUUAUGAAAAAAUUUGUGGCCUGUGGGUGAGGAUGCGUAAACAAACCCUAAAUCCAAAUUGAAACUGGGUUCAUAUAAAACUUUGAAAAUUGAUGCAAAUCCCUUAUAACUAGUAAUGUCUCAUGAACCUUAUGCGCCAAUGUACUUAAUAAAAUAAAAUAUUGUCAAUAAAAUUAUGCAAAUGUAUUAAAAAAAAUUGGUAGAAGAAAAAUUUAAAAAGAAAAAGAAAGCACUACAAAUAGUACAAAUGGUAAUGGGGGAGAAAGACCAUGAGGAGCGUCGUUAGAUUAGACCUACCUAGGGUUCACAUAUGAUGUGUGAGAGACUGAGAAUAAACGUUUGGAUAAAGCUACAUUAGACCUACCUUAGGGCUCAGAGAAGUUCAAUGCGAAGCUACUCAAGCUAGUUAUACUUGUACCAUUUUCAACACACUUUAUUCGAUAACGUACUUCAGAGAAUAAAGUGUGGAGUUAUAACCCUUGAUUAGAAAAUUAUUCCUUUAAUCUUAACAACUUCAAUAUUAGGGAUGUGCAUACUAUAUAUACCAGUCUUACGCUUUACUCUCCGAAGUGCACAUUACUUUAGAGGAGGCACAACCUUCUAAAAGACUUGUAUUUACCAUUAUUUUAUUUUUAAUAAACCUUGUUGAUUUUAUUUUAAAAUAAACCUAAUCAUAAAGAAUGUGUUAAAAAAUAUAAUAGCAUUCCUCAAAUAUAAAUCCAAUAAUUGUCCUAAAUGCUAAUCUUGAUUAUCUAGCAAUUAACAACAAACACUAGUAGUUUUUGAGACAAAAAAAAAACAGCUCUAUUAUGAUUAACAAUAUAAAUUAUUUACAUCAGCAUUUAUGUGAUCUAAAGUUGACAAGAAAACAAUUGGGGGCAGCAAGGAGAGGGGGAGUAACUAAACCCAACCACAAGCCAUAAGCUAAUAUAAUAUAAAUUAUGGAUUGUACAAAAAAACUAUAUGGCAUAGCAAGUUCACUUUAUGGCUUCACAGUUUCAGCAUUAUGUAAUUUACACUUUCAGUCACCAAGAAUUGAGAGAAGUAGCUUUCUCUUUUCGUUUACUUUAUGAUUUUUUUUCUCUUAUUCAAGUCCAUCAAUUGUCAGCUGCUGCAUAAUUCCUUGUGAUAUUCUUUCAUGAAAAAACUCCAAGCUAACCAGGCUGCCCCAACAGCAGGCUCCACCUGUUGUGCAGUAAACCCAAGAAUCAAGAUGUUAAAAUUUGAUUCUAUGCUGAUGUUCCAUGACAUCUAAAGCCUUAAUAUUCUUAAAAAUUUGUGCAUGUUUGGAAAUCAUCCUACAAUUAAUUUAAAGUAAAAAAGCUUAUGUGAGUAGCUUCUGAGUUUUAGAAUUGAUUCUAAGGAAAAAAUCUAUACUAGAAAUAUUGAAGGCUACCAACUAGAUAUAAGGAAAUAUAUGCUGACCUUAGGUCUAAUUGGAAGUACCCCAGGAAAGUACUUGGAAAUGCAAUCUACGACUUCUUUUCCUAUAUCCCAUCUCCUGUUUGCUUCGAGAACACCACCAACCAUGACAAGGGGAAAAUCAUCAUUUCCAUCUGCCAAAAUUAGAAUACAAGUCACAGAUCAAUGAAACAUCAUCUUAUCGUUCAUGCAUGAUAUUCAUACAGACAAAAAUGCCAUUAAUUUGUUUUAUAUUUUAAAAGAGUGUUCUAGUGGCCAACUCAGUGUUAUGUUGAACUCAACGUGAAUCCCCAUGGAACUCGACGUGCCAAAAUCUAGCCUGUCUAUUUGAUAGAAACCAGAAAAUUAGCAGUAGUUUAUUGAUAGAACCCUAAUUCCCAAUAGGGGAUUAGGGGAAAGAUACAUGAGAGAGAUACCAAACACCCUCUCUAACCCUAGAAAGAGAACCACUUCUCUCUCUAAACCCAAUUCCUAACUGAAUACAAAGAUACCCCUAAUGUUCACUAACUUCCCUUAUUUAUAGGCAACAUGCCUUAUUAAUACCCUCUAACUAACUAGCUAAUAUGUGAGUACCUAUCACUAUUGAUACCUCAAGAUACGUGGAAUCACGUUAGCGUUUCCAAACACACUCAAUUAGCUUGGUGUGCUUUUCUUGAAGGAAAUGAUGAUACAGCUAAUUGUGUAAGCAAAAAAUAUGAUAAAUGUGACCUAGAACCAAGUUAAGAUCCAAAUGCAAUUGCAAUAUCCAGGCAGGGAAGAUUUGAAUAAGUUUCUCUAGUGAGGCACUUAUUACAGAGAAAAUGCUUUUGUCCAUAUCAAGAGUUUGACAACUUUUGCCAAGCCUUGGUAAGUUGGUAAUAAUAUGCAUCUUUAUGGAAGCAUCUCAGAUCCAAGAGAAUAAGAUCGACAAACGGUUUUCAUUAAUUUGCAAAAGGAAUGUGAUAGGGUUCUUAAAGAUUCAUGGCGGAUGACUCUAAAAUAGGAGUUCAUAUUGCUUACAUUCAAGCAAUCAAAGAUAUAUAAGAGAGGGUCACGAAUAGCGCGAGAACACAAAGGUUUUCCUAUAACUACAGGUUGGCAUCAAGUUCAACUUUGAGCCCUUAUCUCUUAUUUUGGUUCUAGAUGAGUUUACUGAACUUAUCCAAGAGAUGUUAUCACGAUGCAUCUUACUUGAAGAGAUGGAAAGUUGAAGAAUUAGAGGCAAACCAUAGAAACAUAUGAUUUUCAUUUAAGUAUAAGGAAAACAUAAUAUAUGGAAUGUAAGUUUAAGCAGAAGGCACACAAAUAUUAACUUAGAGGUGAAAAUUGGGAAGCACACAAUACCACAAGUCUCAGGGUUUAAGUAUAUCGGGUUCAUCAUAGAGAAUGAUUAGGAGAAAAAGAAAAAUGUCAACCAUAUGAUCCAAAUAGGGUAGAUGAUAUGAAGGAAUGCUUCAAGUGUAAUUUGUGAUAGAAAAGUAGUACUCAGAAACUUUUUAUAGCACAAUUGUAAGACCUACAAUUUUGAUGGGACUGAAUGUUGAGCGGUAAAGACUCAACCAAAAAGUAAGGCUAGUGUUACAGGGAUGAGAAUGUUACUACGAAUCAAUGAUCACACAAGACGAAGACCACAUUAGGAAUGAAAUCACAAAAAAAGAUGUUAGCCUCAUCUUAGGGUGUAUGUAUGAAGAAAAACCAUAAAAGCACUCUUAAGGAGGAUAGACUAGGACCUCAAAAAAAAGGAGGAUAGACUAGAUAUAGGAUAGACCAAUAGUUAGGUAAAUGAGGUCGAGGAAAACUAUAUCCUAAACCAUUAAGAGAAAUAUGGAGUUAAAUAAUCUAUCACUAGAUUUGAUACAUGAUAGGGUAUUAUGUCAUCGAUUGAUCUAUGUAGUAGACUACACCUAGUGGGAAAAGGAUUUGGUUGUGUUAUGAAGCAUCUCAGUUUCAGAUACCAAGAAUGAAGCUAAAAAUACAACUUCUCGAAGGAAAAAACAGUCCUCGCUUUCCUAAACAUUACAGAAAUGACAAUUCAGCUUUCCGGCAGUCUCACAGCUAAAGCAACCUAAAAUCAGAUUGUUAUUGCACAUCAGUGGUCACAAUAUCUUAUGCAUAUUACUUUAUAUAUGAAAAUCAAUACUGCACACCACAGGAAAAGUAUGGGUAUCUCUAUCUAUGAUGAGUACAAAUGUCAUGAAAUUAAAAAAGAUAAUUAAAAUAACACCUAACCUUUGCCACACAAUCCAAGUCUCCCUACAACAGCUUUUACACUUGAAGCCAGCUCUUGCACAGAUUCUUGCAAGAUCUUAUUUGCAACCUCAUCCCCAGCUUCUGCACAUGACACCACAACUGGAACAAGUGCAGCAAUGCGCGCCCAAGAUGGAUCUGCGUAGGUCCACCUGAUUUUCAAUGAGACAAAAAAAAAGAUUGAGAUCCUGUAUCAUGCUCAUUCAUAUUUGGAUGCCAAUUAUAUUUUUGUGUAUUCUAUUCUAUGACUAUCAGGAUUCCAGAAAUUGAUAAAAAAGUUCUCUGAAAAGGAUUUUUAAAUACAUAUACAGCAGGGGGUUUUAGGGGUCCAGGGGGUUAGAAGACGAACUUAUCAUACAUAGUUAUUUCAGCUAUUAUAAAUUUUAUCAACAGAAAAACAAAAUCAAUAAAGCAAGUUCUUUAGACUUUUGAAUCUAUUCCAGAAACAAAAAACAUGCAUUCCAACAACAAAAUACCAAAAGCUGGACAAGGCAUGAAAAAAUUGAUGAAAUCAAAUUAUAUUGAGAAAAUUGCCGCCAACUUAGAAUUUCUCAUUUUUGAAAUAAUAUGAACUCACAAAACUUAUUUGCAUUUGUUGAAUGGAUUGACAAGGGACAAACACAUACCAAACUAAAUGCAAAUAAUGAGCAGACCUCAUCAUUUUUCUCUCUAUAAAGUGCACAAAAUGGCUUCAAAUUAUAAGAUUUCAUGAUCCAAGUUGUUUACUUUAUAAAUAUAUAUAAAAUGAACAAAUACAGAAAUACUAGAGAAUAUACCCUAUUAAUUCUUCUGCAGAAGAAAGACCAAGCGUUUGUAAAAUACUACUCAUAAGCAUUGUACUUGGACCACGACCAUCAUGCGCUUUAACUACUGCAGUUAAUGCCUGCGCAGAUAUUCCAUAUCCACUGCAAAUCAAAAUCAAAAUUCUCAACCAAACGGUAGAAAGAAUCAAGUUGGCAUUGAAAGAAAGAACUUCUGUGAUGCUCUUAUUUAUUGCUCUCCUUCCUAGUCAUUUUUUUAAGUGAUAUUGAUUAUCAAUGUACAUGAUGGUGAACUAGCUUUCAAGAAAACUAAGACCAGACCAAUUUAUAAACUUAAAAGACUUUUGAGCUACUUGAAUUAUCAUUCUGCCCACAAGUCCUUGCUUCACCAAAAGAUGAUUCUCAUGGUUAAGAAAGUAUAGAGGAGAGUAACAAAGAGUAUUGCAAGGAGAUAGAGAGAGAGACAGAGAGGGUGGGGGUCAUGAAAGACAAGAAAAUAGUUGCAACCAAUUACCUCCCCCAGUCACCUAAGACAGGUCCGGCACCAGCAGCCCUUGCUUCUUUUCCAUCUUCAGUAAAUCCAUAUGCAAUGGUCCCCGUGCCCGCAAUCAAUACACAUCCAUGAAGUUUACCAAUUGUUCCGCUUGACAGAGCAGCUACAGCAUCAUUCCGAACAUGUAAUCUCACGUAACUUGGGAAUAUACCCCUGUUUACAUCAAGUCACAAAUACAACAUACUUCAGUCUCUAAAGCAGUAGAGAAACUACAACGGAGAUUAAAUGACAACAUUUUUAAAGAAAUUAACCAGAAAAAUGCACACUUAAGUUACAAUUUAACUACAGCUUCAAUCCUUUUGAGUUAAGUUCUUAAGUUCUAUUGAGGUCCUUACUUCAAUUCUUUACACAUUGCUUUUGCAAAUUCAAAAAUGAAGAAAUUCAGUACCAUUCAAUCUAGAAUAUUGAAAUAUGGAGUAAGACAACAAUACAGGAAAACUGAAAGCAGCAGAGAUUACAUGGGAACUCUCCUUUAUAAAAGUAUGUUGUUCAUGACAAGGUUAACUCAGUUUAUUGAAUUCUGGAAGGAGAUAUCUAUCCUAAUACUAUGAUAAACAGACUUAGUUGUGUAAGUCAGAAUUAUCAGUAACAUUGAGUCCACCAAUUUUUCACAGCAGAUAAAAUAUGGUACUAUGGGAAGAGGUAUUUCCUUUCCUUCCAUAACUUCAAUACAUUACAAAAACUGACAGAUCAUUUAUCUCGUCAGAGACAAAUUUAACAACGUACAUUCGUUACUUCUAAAAGGCUAACACAUAAAUAAGAUAACUAAAUUUGUUUUAGCUUCUUUAAUAACAAAAGAGUAAAAAAAACGAUAUAAAUUGUAAUCCAAAAAUAAAGGAUGUACUAAUAUUUAGUAACCUAAGCCAACUGAGAAUUCUUUGUUGAUCUGUUGGAUGGUUAACACCAGAUACAGCCAUACAAACAGCACGGACUGAAGAUCGUUUUGAACCACAUUUUGACAGUGCAUCUGCCAUAACUUGCUCUAACGUUUCCCUUGCAGCAAUUUCUGUAGAAGAAGUGAUUAAUGGUAACAACUAACAAUAUAAUAUCCUUAAAAUGUGAUCUUCAUUCUAUUAUCAUAGAUAUAAUUCGUUAAAAAUAAUGGCAUAAAAUAUUUUCUGUUGUCUAUACAUGAACUUUACUUUAAAAAUCAGAGCCAAUGGUGAUGCUACAUGUGUACUUGGCAAGAAAACAUAAGUUACCAGCAACCUUUAUCAGAGAAAGGAGAGGGAGAUGGUUAAAGUAAGUUAUCCAUAAGUAAUUUUUGAGAGAAAGUACAAAGUGGAGAUAGGAAAAACAUCUAAAGACAAAAACACUGUUACCACUUGUCAGAACUUCUUUGCAAUGCUAAAUAGAUAAGCUUAUCACAAAGUCAAUGAUGAGAUAGUAUGUAGUCUUUAAGAUAUCAACAACUCAAACCAAACAAGGUGCCACUAGAUUGCAUUUCCCCCUAGAUGAUGAUCAACUUGCCACAGCUUUAUUGUAGGUCAUAGUCGCUUGUGCACCUUGUAUGAAUAAAAUAUUUAGCUUCAUAAAAUAACCACUUUCUCCAAAGCAAUUUUUUUUGCUUACCAAAUUACCUAAGCUAUAACCAACAUCCUCCAAAAUUCUCUCCAUUGUCCCCAACCCACAAAGAAGUGGUUUUGAAGGAAGUAUACAUUGAAAUAAUUGAAAUUACUCAGAGCCACAACAAGUAUUGGAUUGUUACAUAACCAACAAACACCCCCAAAAAUCCAAAGAAAAAUCAAAAUUUGAAAUUAGCCCACAUAGCAAGACUAAACAAAGUUUGGAUCAUUGUUGUCACAAUUGAUUCUAUAGUAAAAAGUGAACUGAUUUAUGUUUGAUACAUUUAAGAAUUAAGAAAUUUUCUUACUACCAUUCCUAGCUUCUAGCAUAAUUGAUUCUGGAACUAAAAUUAAAUCUUCCAAAAGAUCUAUAUUGUGUCAUCCAAAAUUGAUUUUACUCUUCUGAGGUUCCCAACAUGGAACAAAACACACAUACAAAGUCAAAACUUAGACAAUUUACCUCCAACACUAUUGUGAUUAGAGCAACCAGCAACAGCCCUUGCAAGGAUAGGAAGAGAUUGAAGCUGAGAAUGAGAAAAAGGAAUCAUAGGCAUGCAAAUGCAGACAGUGGAGGUGGUCCCACCAUCCAAACCCAACAAGACACCACCAGUUUCACCAUCAGAAACAGGCAUGAUGUCAUCCUCAAAAUCCCAGAUUUCACCAUUCCUGUACCUCUUCAUCUCAGCAUCAAUCAGCAACUGCUCCUUCUCCUGCUCCUGCUCCUUCUCCUGCUCUGGCGUCAUCACAAUUUGACAAUUUGAAGAGAGAGAAAUCAAUGUUGACAGAAAAAGACACGAGAAUGAGAACAAGGAGAAGAGGAUGAGGAAAGUUUCGAUUUUUAAUAAUGGGGUGUCGCUUAAAUAUGAAAAAGUUUCCAGCUUGGACGGCCACUGCAACAACCACUCUCUCUCUCUCUCUUACCUUGAUGAUAUCUUUUGCUGCAAAAACAAACCAGGAAGAGAGAGAAAGUUGAUUUCUUUUUUGGUGCAGAAAAAGCAAACCAGAAUUCCUGAUUAGUGGUGAAUUCCUGAACAACCACUCUCUCUCUCUCUCUUACCUUGAUGAUAUCUUUUGCUGCAAAAACAAACCAGGAAGAGAGAGAAAGUUGAUUUCUUUUUUGGUGCAGAAAAAGCAAACCAGAAUUCCUGAUUAGUGGUGAAUUCCUGAAUCAGAUACCCAAAAUCAUGUAUCAGGAUCAGGAUUUACUGAUUUAGGAUCAACAAUGCAAUUACUAUGUUGUUGUUUUUUAAGGGAAACUAUGUUAUAAAUUACAAUCACUUGAAUUAUGAGUUAAUACUAUUAUUGCCUAGAAAUGCACAAAUUAAGUAAUGUGGGAAAAAAAAAAUAUUGGAAUUGAUCUCAAACGGUUCAGUAUUAAAUAUCUAGCUUAUCACGAUCGUUUUUAAAUAAUUUCCACAAACAAUUAUCAUGCGAAGUUGACUCAUUUAUUGAUAAUAUGGUUAAUCAAAUCAGGUUUGAAAUUGUCUUAAUUUAUAGGCAGGAUUGAAUGAUGUUAGGAAACUUAAUGAUUGCAAUGAUCAAAUUGACUGAAUUUAUUAAAGUUUCUAUAAUAAUAGAAAUUGAGAGCAAUGAUUUUGUUAGGAUAACAUCAUCAUAAAAAUUCGAGAUAUCUAUAACAUAGAAUAAUAUUUUGAGUUUUUUUUUUUUCAUCAAAUAAUAAAUGUCUAAAAAAUGAAUAAAAUUGUUUAUGACAUCAUCAAACAACUAAUUUUAAUAAAGGAAAUGAGUAAAAUCAAAAAUCACACAAAAGUUAGAAUUGACACCUGUUUGAUUUUAGAUUAUAGUAUAUGAUUUGAUGUGUGAUACGUAUAAUUUUCCGUGAAUUGUAAUAAAAUGCACUUGUAUAUAGAAUGUUUUUUUUUUAACCAUGAGUAGCUCUACUCUUUGUUGAAACAAACAUUGUUUCACUUAGGUGUGGUGGUAAAUAUCAAAAGUCUCUCCAAUAGUGCAUUUGCUAAGGAUAUCUUUGACCUCAGGAGAUAUAGAAUGUAUUUUUUUAGGUAAGUCCAGAAUACCCACCGUCAAUAGCAAUGACUAAUCUCUUCAUUAGAAUAAUAAUAAACGUUUGAAUACACUAUGCAUUCCCAUACCCAUGCCCAAAAAUGUAUUUCAAUUUUCAACAAAACAGAUUCUUUGUGUUUAUUGAAUAAUAAAAGAAUUGCCGGAUAAAAUAGAAUCAGAUCUACAGUUCAUCACUUUUUCUCGAUUCUCCUUUGAAAAUACAUUUAUUAUACAUUGUUGUUUGAAUAUAUUAAUUAUGCAUAUGGUGUUUGUAUGAUAUUAAAACAGAACAAUUCAAUAUUUUAAAAUUUCGCUGACUUAAGGAUAAGGACUUGUUAGGUUAGUCCUAAAACAAGAUUGCUAUUAAACUCGAACUUGGGUCUAGGUUAAUAGAUCACGGGUUGAACUAAUAAGUCAGAAGAAUGCAUGCUCUCAAUUGUUAGAAAAAAAAUUGAUUGUCAUGUUUCAUCAUUUAACCACACAAAUCAGUGAGAUGAUAAUCCUGACUUAGUCAAUUUUAUUUACAAGAGGAUCAAUUUCCAUAAAUCAGUGAUUGAAUAUUAAAAGGCCAAAAGAGAUAAAUCCAUGUCAAAGCCACCUUCUUCAACAUAGUAAUAGUCUUACCGUCACUUAACAUGCAUUUUGAUUUCAUUGCUCAAAUUAUGUACUUAAAGUGACAAACUGGUUAAGAAAUAAAAAACCGUAUAAGACAUACACGAAGGGAGUCAAUUAGAUUGAAUUUUAUAGUUCAAUAAUAAUAAUAAUAUGAUUGAUUGAAAAACCAAGUUCAGUAGUGACUGAUAACACUAUAUUUAAUGUUGGAACCAAACAAAUAACCCAAGUGAUAAGUUAUAUCAUUUUUUUGAAACAGUAAGUUAUUCUUAUUGAAACCAAACAAAUGGUGAUAUUGAUAUCAGUAUUUUCUCAGUUGAACGAUUACAAUGUGUUUUUGGAUUGUGAAUCUGUAAGUUUACUAAAAUAAUUUGCCAUUCCUUUUGGUUCUGGAUUGGGAAUUUGAAGUUUUGAUAAAAUGAAACUUCCGCAUUUCAAAAUUAACAAGUACCUCUAUUCCCCUAUAGCUAUAGCCUAUAAGGCAAUUUUACACUAAUUUAAAUUACCAGCAUAAUCAUGUGGCAUGAUAUGAAAAGAAUGUGAGUGUAAAUAUAUCGAAACACAAAAUUUAUAGGCUCUCAGCACCACUUAUUGUUGGCAGUAUGACCCGCUUCCAACCUGGGUAAAAAUAUGUUAAGGGCCAAAAGGGGAUUCAUUUAGCUGCUAAGGACCAAAACACUUCGAUUAUGAAGCCUAGGUUUGGUUCUUGCAGCUACAAAUCCCCCUUUGGUAGAGACACAAUUUCCUUACUUCCCCUUUACCUGAACUUUAUGUCAGAAAAAUUAUUUGUAGGACUCACCUGGAAAUAAUGUACAGAUCACCAUUUAUACAAGAACACGUUAAUUGCUCCAGAUCAUGCUAUCUAAGUGCAAUUUGGAAAUCACAAAAUCGAAAAAAUGAGGACUAGUCACCUAGGGAAUAGGGAUACUAAACUCAUACUCGAUUUUAAACAUUCCGCCGUGACUUUGUGUUCUUUUUUCGCCUACAUGGGGGAAACAAAAGUCGCCAAAUCUGUUUUUCAGCCGCAUACACUGAGUUAGCCUGCAAAAGCAAAGAGGAAGAAACUCAACUAUUGAGUUUGAAAAGGUACCAUACAGGACAUUUUUCUUCAACCAUGUUUAUAUCCAGCAUAUUCCACAAAAAUGGUUAUAUAAGAAAGGGGGCAAGUCUAUGAAGUGCAGUAGCCUGAGUGGCGCAACUUGAUAAAUAAGCCUUGAAUGAAAGUUGGGUACUGAAAAUUCUUCUUUCACAUGUGGCCAAUGACAAACAUAACAGUUCCUCUCUCCCCCCCCCCCCCACACACACACACACAACCAAUGACAAUGCACCUUCAUUGCAUUUGAUGUAGUGGUUGCCCUAGACACUUGUACUUCUCCCUUCCCUUUUAUUUUUCAGUCUACAGGUUAGUUUACUUUCAUUCCUUCUGGAGAAUCAUGUUUAAAUCCUCUUUCAGUGUGCUACAAGCAUGUGGUGGACACCUGCCAAAUUGACUGACCAAGAGCCUCGGACUUGUAGUUUUGCUGAAAAUAUGAUUGAUAAGACUUGACCCUCUCAAACCCCAAAUAUUACUAUUAAAAAAAUUCAAAUAAUAAGGUUCCGAUUAUAGUUACAAAGCUAUGCUGGUAAAAUAUUUUUUUGGGCCAUUAUAUUAUUUUUUGUUCCAUUGGAUGGAUAUUUUAUAAUACUAUCAUGUUAUGCUUACCAAUUUCAUUCCUGAACUUGACACAUUUUUUCAACUUAGUUUUCAUGUAAAAUUCCACCGAAAUGUAGUCCGCGGGCUUUCUUCCCUUCCCGUCCUUCAAUUAGUCCCCGGACUAUUUAGGAAAGGAAUAACGUGAAGGACUGAAAGAUAGAUCAGGAACUAGUCAUGGGAAAUUUGUACGGGGAGUCGGGGACUAAGUUGAAAAAAGGCGUCAAGGGGUGACGAAAUUGGUGGUUUACUUUGUUAAGCUUCACAUCAAACACUGGAUGGCACAAAACUCAUCAGCUUCUUACACAAUCAACCCUCAAAAUUUGCAUUGGAAAUUGAUUGGAUUAGAUGAUUCUAAUAACUAAUACACAUGUUCAGCAGGAUGUUCAGGUGAGGAUCCAUACUAGAACCAACCUGAAAAAAUGCACAUUCAAUUGAAACAAAGAGAUCCAAGAUGCUUACCUGGACUUUGAAUGGAAAACGGUGACUUUUUACUUCUGUCCCUGAAAAAACUCUAAGAUCCAAGCCUAGGCUGUCAACCCCAAUCAAGUGUGCUCGCUGGAAGCCAAGUAAUGACAGCGAUUUUUAACACAGACAUACACCUCACCAUUUAGGCAUUGUGCAUUAAAAUAAAAUACUAACCACCGAAAAAUUGGAUUACCUCAGCAUCAAGACCUUUCUUUUUGCAAAGUGCUUUAAGAGCACCAUCACAGUUUUGGUUGAAGUGUUCCACAAUUGCCAAAGAAGAGUGUACAAGAAUAUCAGGUUCAGCACGUUGAAACUCUUGGAAACUAAUGUCAGACUGCAAUUUUUUGUACAGGCAUAACUUGUUAUUUAAUAUAUAUCUGUACAAAAUUAAUGUUCUCUAAAUAAUGCUUCAAAUUGCACAAAGUACUGUUCAGCAUACACACACACACAACCAGUUUCUAAAUACAUGCCUGACAUCCAUACACGGAGUGUAGCUUGAUUUUCACGAUCUCCAGUCGAUAGAGUGUCAAACUAGUGUCUCUUUGAUCAUUGAUACUACUUGAAUAAAAAUCUUUACCAUCUAAAGAUUAAAAAGGAGAAAUGUUAAAUGGCAGUUUACCAAUGAAUCUAUGAUAUUGUUUAUGUCACAGUAAGAUCUUGCAUGUUACUUAGAAAGAGGAUGCUCUGUAUAACAUAGAUGCGAUAUGCUCACAUAACUGCAAUGAUAACUAACAAGCUCUAUUGAUAUACUGCAAUACUAGAUUGGUAUCCCUAGACAAGAAAACCAAAGAGCAAGAGUAGCUGAAAUCCAAACAACUAGUUCCAGGGCUUAUAUGCCAAAUAAACAAAACACACGAACUUUAUUCAACUAAACAAGAUCCUUAUGCAACAAAAUUCAGUAAGUACAAAUUGUGAGAGAAAAGUACAGAAUACUCUGCUCUUUAACAUGCUCUUCAGACACGAGCAAUAGUAAGAAGGUUAUGUAGUGUAUAAGAUGCACAUGAAAGUCAGGCUACAAAUUACUAAACUACUUAUGGUGCAUACUAGAUUACCCUACCAUAAUUAUAUCCUUGCCUUCCACUUCCAAUGCAAGAAACUUUUUGUUAUCCUUGAUUCCUUGAAUAAAAAAAUAAGUUCUUUAUCUCUACAUUCCAUAGAGUUUCUCCUCGAUAAACCCACAAUGAUUUUUAAUUUUUUUUAUAUUAAAUGUGUAAAAGAAACCUGUAGAAUUCUAAAUAUCAUUCUUCAAGAAAUUGGAUACCUUUCCUAUCUGAGCUGUAUCCAUCACUUACUUCAGUGGGAUACAUCCUCCUUACAUAUGACUCUUCAUCAGCAUAAGCAGGUCUAAGGUAACCCAGAAUAGAAACACCAUUGGAUGGACAAUUCAUACUUUUCUCACAUUCCAUGUUGACAGCCUAGAAGAAAAUUCAUAGAGAAUCAACAUUAUUCUUCCAGAGAUGUGAAUUUAUUAAAUCUUUCUCAUGUUUAAACUUGAAACUAUUAGUUAUAAGCUUUUGUCAGUUGGGUGAGGGGAGGGGGAACCUUUGUUAAGCACUUCGAAAAAUAAAGUGGAUGAGCUGAGCUAUUAAUAUCUGGCUGUCUCCAAUUCACUGGAGUAUUAAUAUCUUCCAUUUCCAGAACCUGCUUGCAGAAUAAUAUACUUGAGAUAUGAAUUUCUAAGAUGCAGAAAAGAAAUGAAGUAACUAAGACAACUAACUAAAUUCCAUAAAUUAUGCAUUUUAAACUGCAAACCUCAAUAUAACCAUCAUCAAAUGGGAAUUCAUCAUCGUCACCACUAUUGAAAAUGGCAUCUUCACUAGCAGUCCUUCUAUUAUCAUAUAUUGGGAUGUCCAUUCCAAUCAAAGCAUUCUGGAGAUAAAUAAACCUUGAAUAUCAAUUUCAAAACUUCGAACACGAACAUAAGGAUUGAACACGAAAAUACCAUGAGAAAACUACUUCAGUUUACCAUACUAACUACAAAAUGUAGCUCUUUUAGCAAGCCAUUGCACAAAAACAGAUUUGAAUAGCCUAAAACCAAUACAAGGUUUAAGUUGACUACACUCUGUAUUAAUAAUUCUGCAUAUUUUGACGUGCAGUAUCUCUUCUAUGACUAUGGCUUACUAGUUUGAGUGAAAACAUUAAAUCUAUCUGGGAUUUCAGAUUGCAUCAGUAAAGAAAAGAAGAACAUGAAGAUAAAAAGUUGGUGCACGGUUGGAAACUGCCUCCCCAUCCCCACAUCCCUCCCCUGUCCCCAUCUCUGAUCCCCUCUAGAGGUAUAUUUUCCCCUUGUCCCUGCCUCCUCCUGAAUUGGUCAUAAAAAUUUUAAAAUUCAAAAUGAAAAAGGAAUAAUACAAAAAUUUAUGCACUAAAUUCAAACCCGCAAAUGACAAGUCUGCAACAAAAAAUCCAAUACAAAUAUACAAUAAAAUGCAAAUAACAUAACAUAAACUAAAAUUCAACAUCAAGCUAUGUGUUAAGUCUUUAAAAUAAGAAAUACAAAAUGUGAUGUCCAGUAUUCACUAAAUCGCGAUGAAGGUGAAAUUUUUUGAUGGUGGAUGACGGUCAACGAUGAUAAAGGGGUUUCUGAGAUGUGUCAGGCACACAAAAAUGUUGAAUAUCAGAGAAUGGAUGCAAUGAAGGCUACCCAAGUUCAUCCACAAUGAAGUCAAAGCGCAAUGAAGGCGGCUAGGGUUAAGAUGCGGAAGCAGAGCCCCUCAGUAUCGGGAGCUCUGAGGCUAGGUUGAAAGGAAUAUUAUUUUCUGAUUGAUAACAUGAUUGAUGUGUAUUACACCUGACUUAGAAGUACAAUAUAUAGUGUCCUGGUCUAUCUCAAAGAUAGGUUUCCCGGUCUAUCUCAAACAUUAUCUACAAAAUUAAUCCUAUCUAGUAUCCAGUACAUGAUAACAUGAUAAUACACACCAUAAUGAAUCUUAUAAUAACAAAACAUAUCUCAAAUAUAAUAUUAUCUUAUCAUACUAACAACAAAACGCUUAAAAGAAAGAGACAUCACACAGUUCCAAGUCACAGAAUUUGGAGGUUCUUAAAAAGCGUACUGCUUUCAAAUUCCAUCAAAUUCAAAUUUAAGAAAGAAUGUUUUUCUUAAGUAAUCAACAUCAGACGAGAAAGACAAGGAAGUAAAAGAACAAAGGAUGGAGAGAAACGAAAAAAAAGGAAAGCUCAACAGCUGAGCCAUGCAGGCUAAUCUCUUUGCAUGUCUAACAAAGAAAUCCAUUCGAAAAUGGGUACAAAAUUCUUACCACGGGGUUAUUUGCCUCCCAAUCUUCCAAAAGGUUUGCACCAUCAAAUAUUUCAAUGUACAUAUCUACAGGAAACAAAGGGGGGGGGGCAAAGAAAAUAUUGAAUAGUGAAUUUAUUAAAUUAAUUCAAAGUUAUAUUUCAUAAAGAAAAUAGAUAUCCAUAAAAAAGACCACAAACCUCCAUAAUCAUCAAUAAGAUAUUCAUACUCAGCCCAUGAAAUCUGUGCAUGCGGUUCACAGUGUACCAUUCCAGGAAAAACUAGCAAAGCGUGAUCAUUAGCCUAAUACCAACAAACAGGGCACGGUGACACAGAGUAUACAGAUACGACAUAAAUAUAUCCCGUGAACGAAAACAUCAUAUUAUGUUUACUAGGUCUGUAAUCCUAGAUAGAUAUUGCAAACAAACCAGUUUCAUAUGCACAAAAGCAUAUAUAUACAAACCUCAAUUGUUGUUUUUGCUAUUACAGCAGGGGAGAGUCUAGCUGGCUGACUAUCAUUAGAAACCUUCAGUUCUUCAAGAGGAUGAUAACCUUGAUGACUCAUGUCACUAGAUGAAUCAGGUAUAGAAUCUGGAUAAUCCGCAGCAACGAAAAGCUUUGAAAGGCUUAGAUCAUGUCCCGUGGAUGGCCAAAGGAAGGGUGAUGAUCCAAAAAAUGGACUUUUGCAUCUAAGGAUAACCAAAACUAUUUUCAGUGAACAGAGCAUAUUAGAUCUUUCAAGAAGAAACAACUUUGUUAAUUUUCAACCAGCACAGUAAAUGAAAUAUUUGGUUGCAGAAUCAGAAGAAUUAGAUGGCUCAUGGCUGUAGUGAAAUAAUUUGUUGUGAUAUGGUUGAUAGUUGCACUCCAAAAAUUAUAGCAUUCUUAUCUCGAGGCAUCUAGGUAUUUCCUCUUUUCAUGGAACAAAUAUUUGGUUACCAGAAGUCAAAUGACUCAAAUCUUGCGUAGAAACUAAAUCCUAGCAACCAGGAAGCCUGUGUUGGUUAUAAAAAUAACUCAUGGACUCAGUUAAACAGAAUAAGCUUUUAGGUCAAGUGAUUGAAAGUGUGCAUAUAACUAAAUGUAGGAUGAAACUUGUCACUCAUAAAUUCAUAAUAAUGCAUGAAUAUUGUAUUGAUAUGGAUCUACAUCUAAAGCAUAUUUCCCUAAUUUCCUUAUCUCUAUUCGCUAAUUUGAUUACAAACUGAACGAUCCCACAUUCAGUGCGCAUAUUUUCAAACAGAUCAAUGAUCAUUCUAUUUUCGGGACGAAGAUAAUCAAACAUUAUUCACGCCACCCGACCUUGUGCUGGUAAGAUCAUGCAUCCUUCGGCCAUCAAUAGGACAUCUGAUGGAAUUGCAAGCUAUUCCAUAUGACGUCGUGGGGUAACAUAUCCCUUCUGCAAGACACAGAUUAUGGAACAAAUAUGAAAACACCAUCCAAAACACGAUUUGAAACCUCAGUUUAUAUAGGUCAGAGAUGCUAACAUGUGCAGGUACAUAUCUAAAAUUACACAAAAAAAAUCUUGUGCAAAGGAAAACCUCGAAAGCUGUAAAAGAUUUAACCAUCCUCAAAAUUGAUUUCCUAACAUCGGCAAUUCAGCAUUUAGCCCUGAAACUUUUUGGGAUUAUUUACAAUCCAAAGACUGAACACAUAAUAAUAAUAGAAGCAAAAUAUAUAUAUUUUUCUCUGCCAUUGUUCUAGCAUUGCGAAACCAAGUGAGUUAUUAAUCUGCAUUGCGCUCAUUUGAAACUGAAAUCGGCCUGAUAAGACUUGAGACCUUUUCCCCUAAUUUGUUUAGUGCAAUUAAUCACGCGGCCUCCACAGAACUUGGUGAAAUGAAAUGAAAAACACAAAUCAUGUUUGAUUUCAUGGCAUCAGUUUCUUGUCUAUUAAAUUACAAACAUGAAACCGCAAAUGGAACUUCCUAGCGAAAAUUUGAUGCAGCACAGCACAAGUGGAAUGAAUAUACGCAUGCACGAGAAAUUUCUAAUGAAGCAUUAAGCAAGUUGUCAAAAAUUGCAAUGAAUAAAACGCUGAUUACUCAUUCAAUCAGGAAUACACAAUCAUCGGCAAGUUCUCAAAAUUAAACCGAAUGAAUAAACCGCUGAUUCGUUGUUCAAGAAUGUAUAGAGAGGAGAGGAGGUUGCGUACCACCAGUAGCAGUACUAGGGGGAAGUGAGGAAGCAGAAGGAAGAAGAACAAUAGCCAUGGGAAUUGGGAAGGAAGGAGAGAGAAUGCUGAGUUUUGAUUUCAGUUUAACUGACUGAGUCUGAGUCUGAGUCUGAGUAUGAUGAUGAAAGCGACAGUGUUCAGAAUGAGUGAUUCGGCGUCGCGCAUGAAAAUGGUGUGAGUGUGAGUGUGCGAGUGCGUGUCAGUUUGUGGAAACUACUGAAUCAAAUGUGAGGUCCGGCUUCGCAGUCAAGUACGCCUCUCCCUAAUCUCGUCAUCACAUUCGAUUAGUACUUACUUUCCAUGAGAUCCCUAAUCUUAGAUACUAUACUAAUAAACUUUUUUUUCUAUAUAUUUUAUUAACACGCCAUAAUUAUUUACACUUCGUUUCUUAAUUGAAAAACACAGAAGUUAAUAAGCCAAAAGCUUUAAGUUUUGCAUAUGUGAGGUAUAACUGAAUUUUGUUUGUGAAGAUGUAUACUCGUGUUGCAUAAAGGGUAAUGUUUUUGUGUUUUAGAUAUGUAACAAUAUAUAAAUAUAUAAUUAUUGUUUAAAUUAUUAAAAAUAAACUUAAGUUAUAGAAAAAAAUGAUUUUUUUUUAAACUCCUACAAAUUUUCAUUUUACAUAUAAAAUGUUCCUCCCCGUCAGAUCUCGUAACUUAAUUUGUUAGCACUCAUAAAUUUAGGUCAUAAUUUUAUAGUACAUAUGUAUUAAUAUUAUUUAUUCCUCGUAAUUUUCUCACUAUACAAUUNNNNNNNNNNNNNNNNNNNNNNNNNNNNNNNNNNNNNNNNNNNNNNNNNNNNNNNNNNNNNNNNNNNNNNNNNNNNNNNNNNNNNNNNNNNNNNNNNNGAUCAAUACCUUGGUUUAUUUCUAGCUUUUUGCCCCGUAGGAGCUUUUUCUGUUAAUUUUUCAUGUAAAAUGUACAUACCCGUGGGAACUCUUAACCCUAUAGUUUAACUUAAACAAAAAUACACUAUAUAUGUAUUAAUAUUUUCUAAUCUCCGCACGACACAUUUUAAUCAUCAAAUUAUCAUGCCUUUAUAUUUAUUUAUUUUUUAAAACUUUCAAAAAGUUAUGAAAAAAGUAAUGACAUCAUAUUGAUUUUUUAUAUACCACUCAUAGGAAUUAGAUUUCGAACUAUAAGUUCAAACAAUCACUUUUUAUAUAUGUGUUGCACGAAGAACUUUCUCUUGUGCUUAAGACAUGUUCAAUACCAUACUUUAGCAAUAUUUUCAGAUACUAAAGGACAUACUUAAUGAGAGAGAGAUAUAUAAUGCUACAUAAUGUGUUCCUCUAAUUUGAUUUCCCUCUAUUUAUAACUCAUCUCGUCCCUGUACUAAGUAACUACGAUAAUAACAUCUAACUACCUUAUUAGUCCCUGAUUAAUUUCACAAUGAAAGAUUAUGAGAAUGGCAAGUAAAGGGAGAGAAAACCUAGAGGAAGAAAUGGUAAAACAAAGAACGGCAAGGAAAAUGAGAUGAUUAGUUACUAAAUGAGCAAAAUGUAGACAAUCAUAAAAAAGGAACAACACCAUUGAUCCUUUUGAAUGUUUUACAAUUAACUAAGGAUGUUAGGGAAUAAGUUAAGUUGUUGCCGCAAUAGUUUGUUGAUGGUGAGAGGGGGAUUGAAAUAAGGUUGUGGGUUUUUGUUUUGUGUAUUUCCUAGUCCUGUAAAAAUCGCCAUAACGAUGGUGACAGAAGAAUUAUGGUGUAGGUAUGUGUAUAAUGCUCCUUUUAUGAUCAAUAGAGCUUAAGAGAUUAAGGCUAGGUUCUUAAUUGGUAGAUUCGCUUAGCUAAGAAAUUAGUGGGCGAAUAGCUCUUAUCGACAUCUUAAAUGUCAAUUUCGUCUUAUAAGAGUAUAUUGGUUGAGAAUAAGUUGUAAAUCAAAUUAACUCAUUUUUCAAAUACAUUUUCUUCUUUGUUUGCCUCCGUAAAACUUCUUUUAUCGCUUUAAUUAUAAUUUUUCCUUUAUUUAAAUAAACCCACAUUUUACUUUUUAAGCCAUUCAUCCAACAUCUAGCUAGUAAGAUUAAUAUGUAGCAACACAAUCUCUGUGGAGACGACAAAACCCGAUACUAUACUACGAUUGAGUCUUGAAAGGGUUUUGAUAGUAGUUAGUGGAGGAAAACCUCUUCAUUAAAUAUCAUUUCAUCAAUGAGCUCACAUAAUCCAUACACAAAUCAGGAAGUUUGGUUUACCAUAAACCAACAACAAAUCUACACAAUAUCUUCAAACCGUGUUUUAAGUUGCAGAUAAAAACUUCUACAAAUACUUCAAAUCAAACCCCCCUUGAACCGGGUUUGAUUGCACUUGAUAUACUCCUUGACGGCGCACAUAAGCUUCUUGAAUAAACUAUAACUUGGUUAACACGUAAAAAUCCAAAGUUUUACAAUUAAAUCAGCCAAGUACACAGUACGUUCCCAGGGACAAGUGUUCCCACAUCUUGACACACAUAUCAUAUUAGCUAAAAUGUAGACAAUCAUAAAAAAGGAACAACACCAUUGAUCCUUUUGAAUGUUUUACAAUUAACUAAGGAUGUUAGGGAAUAAGUUAAGUUGUUGCCGCAAUAGUCUUCGAGAAGAGAGAAUGUUGUAACUCUUUGAUUGCUCCCUUCCUGUGGUGGUUCAUAUUUAACUUUGUCCAUUUUAAGUUGAAUAGAUAAAACCUUGUUGAGUUGAUGUUGACUUGUUUGUUGAUGGUGGAAGUGGGCAUGAAAUAAGGUUGUGGGUUUUUUUUUUGUGUAUUUCCUAGUCCUGUAAAAAUCACCAUAACGAUGGUGACAGAAGAAUUAUGGUGUGAACAAAUUCUUGCCUCGUUUGUUUGUUCAGGGCAAAAGUUUCAUUAAGUGUUUCAUCUUCUGUACUCUUAUAAAAUAGUCUCACUUGGAUGACUAUAUUACGAGUAUACAAUGCUAUCAUAUUUUAAAAUACAUUAUAGAUUUUAGAAUCCAAUUAGUUUAAAUCUAUGACAAAUUACUAAAUUCUAAAAUUCGGUAUUACCUUACUGAUGCCAAAUUCUAAAAUCUGGUAAGAUGAAGUUUCGCCCAUGACAAAAAUGCUUUGCAUAGACAACAGGAAGAGAAAGAAAAAAAAUGUAAAACAAAGAACGACAAGGAAAAUGAGAUGAUUAGUUACCAAAUGAGCACAAUGAAAGAAGAUGAGAAUGGCAAGGAAAGGGAGAGAAAACCUAGAGGAAGAAAUGGUGAGGAAAGUAAAAGGCAAAGAGAAGGAGGAGAAUCCAUAUGAAUAGGGGUAAGUUGGGGUUUCCAUACCAUAUUGCCAUAUUGGAAUAAAAUAGAACCAUUGCUUAAAAUCAAAGCUUUGCUGACUUGAUACUUGUUAGUCAAGACUUGAUACUUGAAAUUCCAUUGGAGGGCACAUGAUAACAAAGAGUAGACUUGCACACACAAGAUCACAACCUCCCUAAAUAUCUUCCUCUUCUCAUUUCUCAUAAAACCCUAAACCCCAAAUUCACACUCUGUUCCUCCCACCUCAAACCAUGAUCACCGCAAUCCUCAGAAGAGCUUGUUCCGCCCUCUCGCGGCGCGGCGCCGCCACCUUCAUCGCCGCCUCAACCGUCACCGGCGAGCUCCGUCAGCUCCCCGUCGUCGCCAGGGCAAGACACUUCCACUCGAAUCCAGUUCCCUUGCAGUUCCGCGCCUCUCUCCCUUCUCUCGCCGAAUUCGCCGUCGCUGAUUUCCCAUACGAAGAAGGCUCCAAAAACGAUGAAGGGCUCGAGAUCAAGAAGNNNNN